AGUGAACGCUGGCGGCGUGCCUAAUACAUGCAAGUCGAACGAACGAAUAAGAGCUUGCUCUUAUAAGUUAGUGGCGCACGGGUGAGUAAUAUAUAGCUAAUCUGCCUCUUAGUAGAGGAUAACAGUCGGAAACGAUUGCUAAUACUCUAUACUUCUGCUUUACAUAAGUAAAGUAGAGAAAGUUUUUCGCUAAGAGAUGAGGCUAUACUGUAUCAGCUAGUUGGUAAGGUAACGGCUUACCAAGGCUAUGACGCAUAACUGGUCAGAGAGGAUGAUCAGUCACAUUGGAACUGAGACACGGUCCAAACUCCUACGGGAGGCAGCAGUAGGGAAUACUGCGCAAUGGGGGAAACCCUGACGCAGCAACGCCGCGUGGAGGAUGACACUUUUCGGAGCAAAAACUCCUUUUAUCGGGAAAGAAUAAUGACGGUACCCAAUGAAUAAGCACCGGCUAACUCCGUG
This 462-nucleotide ribosomal RNA is filed under the name uncultured bacterium. Its description in RNAcentral is "partial 16S ribosomal RNA". It matches the Rfam family "Bacterial small subunit ribosomal RNA", at positions 29 to 507 of the family's 1533-position model. The record is from RNAcentral.